CCGCCCAGGCUGCCCAGCAAGGCCCCGCUCCCGCGGAAGCGCCUGCCGUCGCCGUUAGUGCUGGACUUGCGCGCGCCGCGGGCCGGUCCUUCGUUGUCCGUUAGCCCGAGGGCCGAGCUCCGGGACUCCGUGCCCCCCGCGGCCGCCGAGGGCGAGGGUAGCGGCCGUAGCCGGAUGCUCCUGCGGCUGGGGUCUUGGCGGCUCCCCCGGCCCCCUCCUCCUCGGCAUCCUCUUCCUCGUCCAUGAUCCACGCCUUGGCCCCCACCUGCUGCGGGAGGCUGUCGAGUCGCUUCCGCAUGGACGGCGGCAGCUUGUCCAUGGUGCCAGGUAAGAAAACUAAAGCAUGAGAGGUAAAAUGACCUGCCAAAUGCCCCAUAGCAAGAAAAUGGUGAAGCUGGAAUUCCAACGAAGGGCUCCACAGGGCAGGCUGUGCUCUACCUUCCAUCUGCUCAUGCAGACAUCAAGACCAAGCCUUCCUCUUCCUCCUCCUCCUCAUCCUACUCAAUGUGAAGACGACCAGGAUGAAGACCUUUGUGAUGAUCCACCUCCACUUCGUGAA
This 559-nucleotide long non-coding RNA is filed under the name Callithrix jacchus (white-tufted-ear marmoset). Its description in RNAcentral is "lncRNA (ENSCJAG00000072756.1)". The record is from RNAcentral. Lineage: Eukaryota; Metazoa; Chordata; Mammalia; Primates; Cebidae.